UGCAUUUCUCAAUACAGAGGCCGAGGGUUAUCCUCCCUUUCUGAACAAAGAAGAUGAACAAAGAAAUAACCCUUUACGUACACAUUAACCCACUACAUGGCCCCAUAUUGCUAGAAAUUUCGUUCCCAACACCUCCUGUUCUCAAAGCUCUAUCGUCUCAUCAUCCAUAAUGUUAAGCACAUAUGCUUAUGAUUCUCUGUCAGGAUGAAAAUGGGAAUAGUUUGUUCAUGUAAUUCAUCGCUAUCAAUGUGAAGAUAUGAAACGAGUAACAAGAAGAGAAAAACAAUGAGCAUCAUUUCGAACGCCCGACAUUGCUCAAAACUGUACACAAAUUAAAGGAUAAAGUCUAUUUUAAACCUUGAACUUGUAGGGGUAGUCUAAAUUGAUCCCCAACCUUCCUAUCCUUGAAUAUGGCACCAUAAAACUUGCCGACCUUGGUCCAUCCCCGGUCGUUAGUUGUCAAAAUGUUGAGCAUGGGAUUGCUGGAGUCUUGAGACUGAUCAUCGGAUGUGUAGUAAAUGGAAAGAAGAAGAUGGAAGAAGAAAGAACCCUUCACAUACGCAUUAACCCACUGCAUGGCCCUAUAUUGCUAGAAAUUUCCUUCCCGACACCUUCUCUUCUCAAAGCUUCAUUGUCUCCUUAUCCAUAAUGUUAACCAUAUAUGCUUAUGCUUCUCUCUCAGGAUGAAAUUGGGAAUAGUUCGUUCAUGUAGCUCAUUGCAUUCAAGGUAGAGUACAUUGACUUUGACAGCCAUGAAAGUAAUGUGAGAAAAUUGAGAAUGAGAGAAAAUUCACAUCUGUAUCUAUAUAUGUAUGUGUGUGUGUAUUUGUUUUGACUACCAAAUUAAAGUAAGUGUAGUACGUGUCCUGAUCAAGAGACAAAAUUAAUGCUAUAAUCAAGAACCCCAUAUGUGUUGACAGGAGAUGGGU
Molecule: long non-coding RNA, 929 nt
Filed under: Hordeum vulgare
Lineage: Eukaryota; Viridiplantae; Streptophyta; Magnoliopsida; Poales; Poaceae
Description: long non-coding RNA (HVUL_LNC014063)
Source: RNAcentral